GUGCGAGACCGAUAGCGAACAAGUACCGUGAGGGAAAGAUGAAAAGAACUUUGAAAAGAGAGUUAAAGAGUACCUGAAACUGCUGAAAGGGAACCGAAUCGUUUCCAGUGUCUAUAAUCCAUGGUAUAUUUCAUUGGCGCGUGAGUGCGUGCAGCGUUUUGGAAGCGGUCUCCGCUCCUGUCGUUGUUGUGCAUUUGCUUGCUGGUGCCCUGUGCUGUGGUGGGACGUCAGAGUCAGUUUGUAUGUUGCGGGAAAUGGUUAUCAGGGAGGUAGGUCGCUUCGGUGGCUGUUAUAUCCUGGUAACUAGUCGUCGUGGCUGAGACUGAGGUGCCUAC
This 335-nucleotide ribosomal RNA is filed under the name uncultured Oomycota. RNAcentral describes it as "eukaryotic LSU rRNA". It matches the Rfam family "Eukaryotic large subunit ribosomal RNA", at positions 326 to 635 of the family's 3401-position model. Lineage: Eukaryota; Oomycota. The record is from RNAcentral.